GACGAACGCUGGCGGCGUGCCUAAUACAUGCAAGUAGAACGCUGAAGGAGGAGCUUGCUUCUCUGGAUGAGUUGCGAACGGGUGAGUAACGCGUAGGUAACCUGCCUGGUAGCGGGGGAUAACUAUUGGAAACGAUAGCUAAUACCGCAUAAGAGUAGAUGUUGCAUGACAUUUGCUUAAAUGGUGCAAUUGCAUCACUACCAGAUGGACCUGCGUUGUAUUAGCUAGUUGGUGGGGUAACGGCUUACCAAGGCGACGAUACAUAGCCGACCUGAGAGGGUGAUCGGCCACACUGGGACUGAGACACGGCCCAGACUCCUACGGGAGGCAGCAGUAGGGAAUCUUCGGCAAUGGACGGAAGUCUGACCGAGCAACGCCGCGUGAGUGAAGAAGGUUUUCGGAUCGUAAAGCUCUGUUGUAAGAGAAGAACGAGUGUGAGAGUGGAAAGUUCACACUGUGACGGUAUCUUACCAGAAAGGGACGGCUAACUACGUG
RNAcentral lists this ribosomal RNA (495 nucleotides) under uncultured bacterium. Its description in RNAcentral is "partial 16S ribosomal RNA". It matches the Rfam family "Bacterial small subunit ribosomal RNA", at positions 28 to 507 of the family's 1533-position model. The record is from RNAcentral.